GCUUACGGCCAUACCACCUUAGGCACGCCCGAUCUCGUCUGAUCUCGGAAGCUAAGCAGGGUCGGGGCCUGGUUAGUACUUGGAUGGGUGACCGCCUGGGAAUACCAGGUGCUGUAAGCA
Molecule: ribosomal RNA, 120 nt
Organism: Gadus morhua (Atlantic cod)
Lineage: Eukaryota; Metazoa; Chordata; Actinopteri; Gadiformes; Gadidae
Source: Ensembl